CAAGCAGGAUUGAAGGGGAUGGGGGCGGUGACUGGAAUUUUCAGGGUUGACUACCAUAAAAAAUGGAAUUAACACAGAGGGACUCUGAAAUAUGAAGAAGGGUCCCUUUUAUCUUUGGCUGAUAACUUAGCGGGUGAGGCUUCAUGGGGCAGGCAGAUAACUGUCAAGCUGGUACAAGUAACUCAUAGUGGGUUGGGAGAUUGUCUAGUUCUGACCAUGUAGAGUGGAGAGACCUGCUAAAAUACUCGGUCAUUUGGAAGAGACCGUAGGAAGGACAAUCCUUAGCAAUAGGUCUGCAGUAAUAGAGAAAAUACUAUUUUUAACCCUAUCCUCAAAAGUAUGUGUGUGUUGGAGGAGAGGGGAGGGGAUGAAAAACAAAUCUCAAAAAAUGAAGGCAGCUAUAUGUAAUUGUCAAAGUACACUCUGUUGUUAGGUUUAUCUAAAAACAAAAAAUAAAAUAGUCAUUUUCUUAAAGGUAGGAGCCAGGUGUGUGCACACCUGUAAUACCAGCUAUGCAGGAGGGUAAGGCAGAAGGAUGGAAAGUUUGAGGCCAGUUUGAGCAAUUUAGAGAGGCCCUGUCUCAAAGAAUAAAAAUGACUGGGGAUGUAGCUCAUUGGUAGAGUGCCUUUGGAUCCAAUCCCCAUUACCACCAAAAGAAUAAAGAAAGAAAAGAAAAAUUAAGUCAGGGCAGGGGAAUGUAGCACAGAGGUAGAGCACUAGCCUACUUCAUGGGAGGCCCUGGGUUUGAUCCCCAAUACUACCAAAAAAGAAGAAAAAGUAAAAGAUUAAGCCAGAUCUCAGUCUCUCUAUCCGGACAAAAGUUAACAUUUAAAAUAGCCAUAUAUUCAUCAACAUAUAUAGAAUAUUAAGCAUCCAGUCCAGUAUAUAAAAUAUUAUAUAAAAUAUUGCCAUCCAGUCCAGAAUUAUUGGACCUAUAAAGAGAAGGGGAAAUGUAAUCUUUAACCAGGAGAAAAGUUAAUUCAUAGACCUAGAAAUCCACAGAUGAUGGAUUUAAAAGACAGGAAAGCAUUGAAGUAUUGAAAGGAAAAUGUAAUCAUAGGAGACUAAGUAAGAUUUAAAAAGCCAAUAAAUAAAAACGAAAACUCAGCAGAACUUUUGGAAAUGAAAAAUAGAGAAUCUGAGGUGAAUUUUUUAGCCAGCAGGCUUAAUAGCAGAUCAUUACAUCUAAUAUUACAGAACAAAAGAUUAGUGAUGGGGCCUGGGGUUGUAGCUCAGAGGUAGAGCGCUCGCUUAGUAUGCGUGAGGCACUGGGUUCGAUCCUAAGCACCACAUAAAAAUAAAAUAUUGUGCCCACCUGCAAUUAAAAAAUAAAUAUUAAAAAAAAAAGAUUAGUGAUAGGGACUUGGAUUGUUGCUCACUGGUAGAGCACUUGCCUAGCAGGUGAGGCACUGGGUUUGAUCCUCAGGACCACAUAAAAACAAACAAAUAAAAUAAAGAUAUUGUGUCCAUCUACAUCUAAAAACAAACAAAGAGAUUAGUGUCAGCUGGGCAUGGUGGCACACGCAGCUCUGGAGGCUGAGGCAGGAGAAUGGUUCAAAGCCAGCCUCAGCAACAGCAAGGCGCUAAGCAACUCAGUGAAGGUGAGACCUUGUCUCUAAAUAAAAUACAAAAUAGUGCUGGAGAUGUGACUCAGUGGUUGAGUGUCCCUGAGUUCAAUCCCUAGUUCUCCCAUCCCCCUGCCAAAAAAAAAAAAAGAAAAAAGAUUAGUGUUAGGGUAAUAGAAACUAUCCAAACUGAAGACCAGGGGAGGAAAAAUGCUGAAAAACAUUUGAACCUCAGUGGUACAUGGGACAGUAUCAUGUAAUCUAACAUAUUUAAUUGGAGUCUUAGAAAAGAAGUAUUUACAGAAAAAAGAUAAUGGCUGAUAAGUUUACAAAUGUGAAGAAAACCGUAAUGUAAGCCCAUAGACCCAGUGAACCUAGGUAGGAUAGCAAAGAAAAUCGCAUCCUAAUCGAAUGACUGAAAGCCCGAGACAAAUAGGAAUGGUGUUAUAUUCAGAGGGACAAAUAUAGAACACUGUUGACUUUAUCAGAAACGGUGUAAGCCAGUAAAAUAUCCAAAUUGUAUUACAAAUAAAUAACAUAACCACAUGGAAGGAGAAGAAAAGAGUUCUCUAGAGGAAUAGAACCAAUAGAAUAUACAUAUAAUUAUAAAAGCAGAUUUAUUGGAUUGAUUUAUAUGAUCAGGGAAUGGAUAGAUCAUGAUGGCCAUUUAUGAACUGCUGAGCUGGGGAAACCAUUAGCCACUCAGUCCAAGAAAGCUUGAUGCCUCAGAACAAGAGGGACUUAUCUAUGAUGCAGUACCAUUCUGAGGCUGAAAAUCUAGAAGCUCCCUGGAAAUUCACUGGAGUAAGUUCAUGUUUUGGCAUCUGAACCUGUGGCAGCAGCAAAAACAUGCCCCAUCUUCUUCAACCUUUUGUUCCAUCUGGUCCUCCAACCUAUUAGAUGGUGCUGCCUGCAUUCAGGGCAAGUCUUCCCUCUCAGUUGCUGAUCCACAUUGCCACUUGUGUUGAUCAGUUUCUCUUUUGGAAAAAGAGAAGUUUAAGUUUAAAACCAAAAUAAACCAUCACAAAAGCCAGGCUUGGUGGUGCACACCUGUAAUCCCAGGUACUCUAGAACCUGAGGUAGGAGAAUCACAAGUUCGGGGUCUGCCUGGAAACAUAGUGAGAACCUAUUUCAAAAAAGUAAAAUAAAAAAUAUAAAAACCCCAAACCGUUACAAAAGUAAUCAAAGUGCUUUUAGAAAACAGGAUCAUGAGUUCGAGGUCUGCCUGGAAACAGUGAGACCCUAUCUCAAAAAGUAAAAUAAAAAAUACAAGAACCCAAAACAGUUACAAACUUUAGAAAACAGAUAUCAUAAGUCUAAAGAUAAGAAGAAAAACAAACUGUAAACAAGUACUUUAGUCAGUAAAGCUACUUUCUUAUAGGGUAUGAAUUACCAAGUCUGAAACUAUAUAUAUGUGUGUAUGUAUAUGUACAUACAUGCUAGGAUUAAACAUGUAUAUAAAUGUUUUAGAUAAUGAGAGCCACUUUAUUGUUAAAGUUUCUAAAAAAGUACAGUAGGAAUGCAAGAGUGAACUCUGGUGUUUGUUUGGAAUUGAAAGUAUCAUUAUGAGUUCAUGGUUGUAUAUAGUUAAUGCAGAACAGAUAGUUAUGGAAGUGUAGAUGUCAUGUGCAUUGAUUAGUAUACAUAAACAUAUUUUCUAGCUCUGUCCAUAGAGAAGGCAUAAAAGCAAUGACACUCCUAUAGCAUGUGCUAAUUUAGUGCCCAGAUUUUGGAGUCUAAAUAAAACUCUUUAAUAAAAGGAACCAGGGCUCUCUGAAGAACUUGAUUACAGAACUGGGGUAGGAGAAAUAAAAGAUGGUUCUG
Molecule: long non-coding RNA, 3389 nt
Filed under: Marmota monax (woodchuck)
Lineage: Eukaryota; Metazoa; Chordata; Mammalia; Rodentia; Sciuridae
Rfam family: tRNA (bases 1222-1283)
Source: RNAcentral